This 253-nucleotide ribosomal RNA is filed under the name uncultured bacterium. RNAcentral describes it as "partial 16S ribosomal RNA". It matches the Rfam family "Bacterial small subunit ribosomal RNA", at positions 524 to 776 of the family's 1533-position model. The record is from RNAcentral.
UACGUUGGCAGCAAACGUUGUUCGGAAUUACUGGGCGUAAAGAGUGUGUAGGCGGUUUUGUAAGUUUGGUGUGAAAUCUCCCGGCUUAACUGGGAGGGUGCGCCGAAAACUGCAAGGCUAGAGUAUUGGAGAGGAUAGCGGAAUUCCUGGUGUAGCGGUGAAAUGCGUAGAUAUCAGGAGGAACACCGGUGGUGUAGACGGCUAUCUGGACAAUUACUGACGCUGAGACACGAAAGUGUGGGGAUCAAACAGG